AGAGUUUGAUCAUGGCUCAGGACGAACGCUGGCGGCGUGCCUAACACAUGCAAGUCGAACGAUCCCGCACUCAAUUUUAUUUACAAGGUGGAAAAGAUGUACUAUGUUUAUUUAUUACGACUGAGUGAUAAAACGACAUAUGUAGGAUACACAUCUAAUUUAAAAGUGAGAAUCAAACAACAUAGAAAUAACUAUGUAGAUUCAACACGAAAUAAAAACCCACAACUUGUAUAUUAUGAAGCUUUCAAGUCACGCAAAGAUGCAAUGGCAAGAGAGCAGAAAUUAAAACAAGGUCAAUCAAAAGGACAUUUGAUUGAUAGAAUACAAGACAGUAUAAAACUUUGUGAAUAAAAUUGAGUGCGGGAUAGUGGCGGACGGGUGAGUAACGCGUGAAUAAUCUGCCCCAUACAGGGGGAUAGCCUCGGGAAACCGGGAUUAAAACCGCAUAACACUUUAUCACCGCAUGGUGAUGAAGUCAAAUCGAUUAAGAGGUAUGGGAUGAGUUCGCGUCUGAUUAGCUAGUUGGCAGGGUAAAGGCCUACCAAGGCGACGAUCAGUAGCCGGCCUGAGAGGGUGACCGGCCACACUGGAACUGAGACACGGUCCAGACUCCUACGGGAGGCAGCAGUGGGGAAUAUUGCACAAUGGGGGGAAACCCUGAUGCAGCGACGCCGCGUGAGUGAAGAAGGUCUUCGGAUCGUAAAACUCUGUCCUUGGUGACGAAGGAAGAGACGGUAACCAAGGAGGAAGCCCCGGCUAACUACGUGCCAGCAGCCGCGGUAAUACGUAGGGGGCGAGCGUUGUCCGGAUUUACUGGGCGUAAAGGGUGAGUAGGCGGUCAUAUAAGUCAGGUGUAAAAAGCUAAGGCUUAACCAUAGUAAGCACUUGAAACUGUAUGACUUGAGUGCAGG
Molecule: ribosomal RNA, 911 nt
Filed under: uncultured bacterium
Lineage: Bacteria
Description: bacterial SSU rRNA
Rfam family: Bacterial small subunit ribosomal RNA
Source: RNAcentral